UACGUAGGGUGCAAGCGUUAUUCGGAAUUACUGGGCGUAAAGCGUGCGCAGGCGGCUUUGCAAGUCAGAUGUGAAAUCCCCGGGCUUAACCUGGGAACUGCAUUUGUGACUGUAUGGCUGGAGUGCGGCAGAGGGGGAUGGAAUUCCGCGUGUAGCAGUGAAAUGCGUAGAUAUGCGGAGGAACACCGAUGGCGAAGGCAAUCCCCUGGGCCUGCACUGACGCUCAUGCACGAAAGCGUGGGGAGCAAACAGG
RNAcentral lists this ribosomal RNA (253 nucleotides) under uncultured bacterium. RNAcentral describes it as "partial 16S ribosomal RNA". It matches the Rfam family "Bacterial small subunit ribosomal RNA", at positions 524 to 776 of the family's 1533-position model. The record is from RNAcentral.